UGGGGGAUAUUGCGCAAUGGGCGAAAGCCUGACGCAGCGACGCCGCGUGGGUGAUGAAGGCCUUCGGGUCGUAAAGCCCUGUCGAGGGGAAAGAAACGGUUCCGACCCAACACGUCGGGGUCCUGACGGUACCCCUAAAGGAAGCACCGGCUAACUCCGUGCCAGCAGCCGCGGUAAUACGGAGGGUGCAAGCGUUGUUCGGAAUCACUGGGCGUAAAGGGCGUGUAGGCGGUCCGCUAAGUCUGAUGUGAAAGCCCGGGGCUCACCCCCGGAAGUGCAUUGGAAACUGGCGGACUCGAGUCCCGGAGAGGAGGGUGGAAUUCCUGGUGUAGCGGUGAAAUGCGUAGAUAUCAGGAGGAACACCGGUGGCGAAGGCGGCCCUCUGGACGGUGACUGACGCUGAGACGCGAAAGCGUGGGGAGCAAACAGGAUUAGAUACCCCCGUAGUCC
RNAcentral lists this ribosomal RNA (450 nucleotides) under uncultured bacterium. RNAcentral describes it as "bacterial SSU rRNA". It matches the Rfam family "Bacterial small subunit ribosomal RNA", at positions 355 to 796 of the family's 1533-position model. The record is from RNAcentral.